CACCGUGUAAGGUGGAGAUUGAAGAAACAAUGGAGAUGAGUAAGAAUGAUUAAAUGGUUCAAUCAUUUAUUUAUGGCAAGGAUUAAUUAAUAUGUUAAUUAAUCAAACGAAUAAGUUCGUUAAAGACCUCGGGAUAGGUUUUGGACCUUAAGGUCCAAUGGGCUUCGAACGUCAAGCCCAUUGACUUAAGUUGUAUGACAACUUAAUGAAUAAUGAUUCACUAAGA
This 226-nucleotide long non-coding RNA is filed under the name Malus domestica (apple). RNAcentral describes it as "long non-coding RNA (MDOM_LNC004484)". The record is from RNAcentral. Lineage: Eukaryota; Viridiplantae; Streptophyta; Magnoliopsida; Rosales; Rosaceae.